CCGACGGGGAGGAGAAGAGGAGGAGAGCUCUCCGCCCAGCGCUGGAAAAAGGUACGUUUUUACCCCUUUCCCCCUUCCAGAGCCGGGCGGGAGGGGGAUCCUGAGGGUGGGGGCACCCUCAGGACACUAUAGUGCCAGGAAAACGAGUAUGUUUUCCUGGCACUAUAGUGGUCCUUUAAAACAAUAACCUUUAAAAGCCAACUUUUAGUGUGCAUAGGAAUUACAAGGCCGUUCAUAAUGUGAGAUAAAGAACAGCUUUUUUUAAAAAUCCAAAUAGUCUGUGAACACAAAAUGAGCUUGCGCUGAAAAUUCACUUGCAG
Non-coding RNA from Pelobates cultripes (western spadefoot toad), 320 nucleotides. Lineage: Eukaryota; Metazoa; Chordata; Amphibia; Anura; Pelobatidae. The record is from the annotation of a GenBank genome assembly.